CCAUGCAGUCGAACGUGAAGGGAGCAAUCCUGAGUAAAGUGGCGUACGGGUGAGUAACGCGUAGGUAAUCUACCCCAGAGUCUGGAAUAACCUGCCGAAAGGCGGGCUAAUACUGGAUAGAGCGACGAAAUCCGUAAUUGGGUUUUUCGGGAAAGGGAGGAAGCAAUUCCCUUUGCUCUGGGAUGAGCCUGCGUCUCAUUAGCUAGUUGGUGGGGUAACGGCUCACCAAGGCUAUGAUGGGUAGCUGGUCUGAGAGGAUGAUCAGCCACACUGGGACUGAAACACGGUCCAGACUCCUACGGGAGGCAGCAGUGGGGAAUCUUGCGCAAUGGACGAAAGUCUGACGCAGCCACGCCGCGUGAGUGAAGAAGGCCUUCGGGUUGUAAAGCUCUGUCGAGCGGGACGAAAAGUUUUCAGGUGAAUAGCCUGAAGAUGUGACGGUACCGCUAAAGGAAGCACCGGCUAACUCCGUGCCAGCAGCCGCGGUAAUACGGAGGGUGCAAGCGUUGCUCGGAAUUAUUGGGCGUAAAGGGUAGGUAGGUGGUCUCAUUUGUCUGGGGUGAAAGCCUUGAGCUUAACUCAAGAAGUGCCCCGGAAACGGUGAGACUAGAGUCCUGGAGAGGGUCGUGUAAUUCCCGGUGUAGCGGUGAAAUGCGUAGAGAUCGGGAGGAACACCAGAGGCGAAAGCGGCGACCUGGACGGCACUGACACUCAACUACGAAAGCGUGGGAGCAACAGGAUUAGAUACCCUGGUAGUCCACGCUGUAACGAUGGGUACUAGGGUUUGGUGGGG
Molecule: ribosomal RNA, 793 nt
Filed under: uncultured bacterium
Lineage: Bacteria
Description: bacterial SSU rRNA
Rfam family: Bacterial small subunit ribosomal RNA
Source: RNAcentral